Molecule: small nucleolar RNA, 142 nt
Organism: Arvicanthis niloticus (Nile rat)
Lineage: Eukaryota; Metazoa; Chordata; Mammalia; Rodentia; Muridae
Product: small nucleolar RNA SNORA38
Source: RefSeq, a predicted model, not a curated record
UCCUUACUACAAAGGCGUGUUUUUGGUUCCCUGACCUUGGAUACGUAAGAAGUAAGAAUCAGAGGCAAAGAAAUGAGGUGGAUUUGGAAAGGUCUGGGACCAGCUUGCCCCUGGCAGGCUCAUGAACAACCAUGCCACAAAG